GACGAACGCUGGCGGCGUGCUUAACACAUGCAAGUCGAACGAUGAAGCCUAGCUUGCUAGGUGGAUUAGUGGCGAACGGGUGAGUAAUACGUGAGUGACCUACCUUUGACUCUGGGAUAAGCCUGGGAAACUGGGUCUAAUACCGGAUACGACCAAUCUCCGCAUGGGGUGUUGGUGGAAAGCGUUAUGGAGUGGUUUUAGAUGGGCUCACGGCCUAUCAGCUUGUUGGUGAGGUAAUGGCUUACCAAGGCGACGACGGGUAGCCGGCCUGAGAGGGUGACCGGCCACACUGGGACUGAGACACGGCCCAGACUCCUACGGGAGGCAGCAGUGGGGAAUAUUGCACAAUGGGCGCAAGCCUGAUGCAGCGACGCCGCGUGAGGGAUGACGGCCUUCGGGUUGUAAACCUCUGUUAGCAUCGAAGAAGCGAAAGU
Molecule: ribosomal RNA, 434 nt
Filed under: Rothia dentocariosa
Lineage: Bacteria; Bacillati; Actinomycetota; Actinomycetes; Micrococcales; Micrococcaceae
Description: bacterial SSU rRNA
Rfam family: Bacterial small subunit ribosomal RNA
Source: RNAcentral